CUCCCACAUUUGGAAAUUUCCUUCGACCAUGAUGCUUCCCCUACGUGGAAUGGAAUUGCGUCCCUCUUAUGUUUAAAAUUCGUCCCCACUGGGAACUUGGACUCGUUUCUUGUUGAAUACGAAUGUCUCGCUUGGCAAGGAGAUUCUUCGUCUCAGUGGGCCCCCUUCAACCCCCACAUGAAGUUACCCCCAUGAUCGUGGAGGCCUUCACCCAGCAGUGGAUUGACAAAGCGAUUGAUCGUUACUUCAGGAGUGGAUCAAAGAUCUUCCUUACCAAACCGCACCUCUCACCUGGCCUCAGCCAAAACACAGCCACACUGCUCUCAAGGCCCGCUUGGUUCGUUUUAUCCCCACACUCAGACAUUGC
Long non-coding RNA from Lethenteron reissneri (Far Eastern brook lamprey), 367 nucleotides. RefSeq lists it as uncharacterized. The record is from RefSeq and is a predicted model, not a curated record. NCBI's taxonomy places the organism in Eukaryota, Metazoa, Chordata, Hyperoartia, Petromyzontiformes, Petromyzontidae.